ACUCAAAUGAAUUGACGGGGGCCCGCACAAGCAGCGGAGCGUGUGGUUUAAUUCGACGCAACACGCAGAACCUUACCUAGGCUUGACAUGAUGCUGCAAGCGGUGGAAACACCGCCGCCUUCGAGGGUGCAUCACCGGUGCUGCAUGGCUGUCGUCAGCUCGUGUCGUGAGAUGUUGGGUUAAGUCCCGCAACGAGCGCAACCCUUGCCCUAUGUUACUUGUGUCAUAGGGGACUGCCGGUGGGUUCCACCGGAGGAAGGCGGGGAUGACGUCAAGUCCGCAUGGCCCCUACGCCUAGGGCGACACACACGCUACAAUGGCCGGAGGAAUGCGCGGCGACCAGGCAACUGGGAGCUAAUCGCCAAGACCGGCCUCAGUUCAGAUUGAGGGCUGCAACUUGCCCUCAUGAAGGCGGAGUUGCUAGUAACCGCGUGUCAGCAAAGCGCGGUGAAUACGUACCCGGGCCUUGUACACACCGCCCGU
This 483-nucleotide ribosomal RNA is filed under the name uncultured bacterium. Its description in RNAcentral is "partial 16S ribosomal RNA". It matches the Rfam family "Bacterial small subunit ribosomal RNA", at positions 899 to 1397 of the family's 1533-position model. The record is from RNAcentral.